RNAcentral lists this long non-coding RNA (868 nucleotides) under Rattus norvegicus (Norway rat). Its description in RNAcentral is "long non-coding RNA NONRATT013543". The record is from RNAcentral. Lineage: Eukaryota; Metazoa; Chordata; Mammalia; Rodentia; Muridae.
CAACCAGAACACUGGAUUUGCCUUUGUCCUCAGUGUGGUUAACUGAGGGAGACAGAGAGAGGCCGUGUCUUGGUCUUUUCACCUGUUAGCAAGGACAUUUCCCCUGGUUUCCAAACAAGUUCUAAGGACAUGUCUUUCUUUUUCCUUUUUCUUUCUUUCUUUCUUUCUUUCCUUCUUUUUUCCCUGUAGUGGAGAAUGGAUGGCAGGGGAAUAGUACUUCCUUGAGACUGUUUUCCUCCUGUAAUAAUUGUAAAUCAUAACUGCUGAGACUACCGUGCUCUUCUCAGUGUGGUUUUGUUUCGUUUUGUUCUGUUUUUACCUUGAAAACUUUGUUUUAAGAACGGUCACUUGUGGUGCGAAGGGGUGGCCCAAGAGUCUGCUGCUCCUGUGUGAUGCUCCCCUGGGAGAGCACUGUCCCGAAGGCUCCUUGAGUCUGUAGGGAUGGCCACUUUUCCUUCCACCCCCUUUGCUCAGGUUAAUGUCUGUGGGUGUUUUCUUCUGCACGUGAUUGGAUUUCCGCUGUCCAGAAGCAGGCCACAUUUACUGGAGUUACUGAACUCUGAAAUAGGAAGCCUGUGGGUGGGUGAUCAGAGUUGCCUCGCUGGGAAGCCAAGGCCUCAGUCAGAGAACAUUAGAGCCCAGAAGAGAGGACCUUAAAGCAAUUGUUCACCCAGACACUGAAAGAUUUUGUUUCAGGUAUUGCCACAACAGCGACAUUGGUCUGUGGGUGGAGACACCCAGGGUGGCUGCCAGUACCCUCAUCCAGCUGCCUCCUCUGUUUCCCCGUUGUUUGUGGUCUGUGUAGUGAUUUCAGGGAGGUGGAAAUUGAGAGAACAUUUGUGUAUCAAAGCAGCCUAAAUAUUUGCAA